GAGGAGGAGGAGGCUCAUCGUCAUCUGAGGAGGGUGGACGAGGAGGCUACAAAGGCUGUUACGUGGACCAAAGAAACCGAGUUUUCCCACAUGCACAAACGUCUUCCAACAGCAUGACAACAGCUGUAUGUGUGGCCCACUGCCGGAGGAAUGGGUACGCCUACGCAGGUACACAGUACGCAAGUCAGUGCUUCUGUGGGACGGCGGCGGAGUUUGCCAGGCUGCGGUCUUCAGGAGGCUGCAACAAACGGUGCAAAGGGAACAGUAAAGAGAUCUGUGGAGGAACAUGGCGGAUGUCGGUCUACGUGAU
Branchiostoma belcheri (Belcher's lancelet) is the source of this 310-nucleotide long non-coding RNA. RefSeq lists it as uncharacterized. The record is from RefSeq and is a predicted model, not a curated record. Lineage: Eukaryota; Metazoa; Chordata; Leptocardii; Amphioxiformes; Branchiostomatidae. The transcript is spliced from 3 exons.